CCUACGGGAGGGCAGCAGUGGGGAAUAUUGGACAAUGGGCGAAAGCCUGAUCCAGCAAUUCCGCGUGUGUGAAGAAGGCCUUCGGGUUGUAAAGCACUUUAGUGGGGGAAGAAACAGCUUGGCCACACCAAGCCUUGACGGUACCCCAAGAAUAAGCACCGGCUAACUCUGUGCCAGCAGCCGCGGUAAUACAGAGGGUGCAAGCGUUAAUCGGAUUUACUGGGCGUAAAGGGUGCGUAGGUGGCUAUUUAAGUCGGAUGUGAAAGCCCGGGGCUCAACCUCGGAAUUGCAUUCGAUACUGAGUGGCUAGAGUUCGGUAGAGGGCGGCGGAAUUUCCGGUGUAGCGGUGAAAUGCGUAGAUAUCGGAAGGAACAUCAAUGGCGAAGGCAGCCGCCUGGGCCUGGACUGACACUGAGGCACGAAAGCGUGGGUAGCAAACAGGAUUAGAUACCCUGGUAGUCCACGCCGUAAACGAUGAGAACUUGACGUUGGUUCGUUUUACGAAUCGGUGUCGCAGCUAACGCGAUAAGUUCUCGCCUGGGGAGUCGGCCGCAAGGUUGAAACUCAAUGAAUUGACCGGNUGNGNGNGCGAGNGACACGAGGAGAG
This 607-nucleotide ribosomal RNA is filed under the name uncultured bacterium. RNAcentral describes it as "bacterial SSU rRNA". It matches the Rfam family "Bacterial small subunit ribosomal RNA", at positions 338 to 943 of the family's 1533-position model. The record is from RNAcentral.